This 64-nucleotide transfer RNA is filed under the name Penthe kochi. RNAcentral's name for it is "tRNA-Glu". Lineage: Eukaryota; Metazoa; Arthropoda; Insecta; Coleoptera; Tetratomidae. The record is from RNAcentral.
AUUUAUAUAGUUUAAAUAAAACAUUAUAUUUUCAAUAUAAAAUUAAUUUUAUAAUUUAUAAAUU